This is a non-coding RNA of Paramuricea clavata, 258 nucleotides long. The record is from the annotation of a GenBank genome assembly. Lineage: Eukaryota; Metazoa; Cnidaria; Anthozoa; Malacalcyonacea; Plexauridae.
CCUGUAAGUCUAUUUUCAACCAUUUCGUGUCGAGUACAGCUUGUGGCCGAAGGGGUGAACAGGUCUUACUUUUGCCAGACAUAUCUAUAAAUUUGAUGCAAAAUAUCGCCGUUAAAACGGUAAUUUUGUGCUAUGUUUACACAGUAGAACUUCCAAAACCAAGCAAGGUGUUGCUCCACAUAAUUUAUCUUCGAAUUUAUCACAUAUUUAACCAGAAAAACAGAAAAAUAAAACGUAAACUGUAAGCUUUCAACUGAA